RNAcentral lists this transfer RNA (87 nucleotides) under Acidimicrobium sp. BACL17 MAG-120823-bin42. RNAcentral describes it as "tRNA-Leu". It matches the Rfam family "tRNA". Rfam says of the family: Transfer RNA (tRNA) molecules are approximately 80 nucleotides in length. Their secondary structure includes four short double-helical elements and three loops (D, anti-codon, and T loops). Further hydrogen bonds mediate the characteristic L-shaped molecular structure. tRNAs have two regions of fundamental functional importance: the anti-codon, which is responsible for specific mRNA codon recognition, and the 3' end, to which the tRNAs corresponding amino acid is attached (by aminoacyl-tRNA synthetases). tRNAs cope with the degeneracy of the genetic code in two manners: having more than one tRNA (with a specific anti-codon) for a particular amino acid; and 'wobble' base-pairing, i.e. permitting non-standard base-pairing at the 3rd anti-codon position. Lineage: Bacteria; Bacillati; Actinomycetota; Acidimicrobiia; Acidimicrobiales; Acidimicrobiaceae. The record is from RNAcentral.
GUCGGAGUGGCGAAAUUGGCAGACGCACCAGCUUGAGGGGCUGGCGCUCGAAAGGGCGUAGGGGUUCAAGUCCCCUCUUCGACACUA